CCUACGGGCGGCAGCAGUGAGGAAUAUUGGUCAAUGGACGAGAGUCUGAACCAGCUAAUUAGCGUGAAGGAUGACUGCCCUAUGGGUUGUAAACUUCUUUUAUAAAGGAAUAAAACGAGGCACGUGUGCCUUUUUGCAUGUACUUUAUGAAUAAGGAUCGGCUAACUCCGUGCCAGUAGCCGCGGUAAUACGGAGUAUCCGAGCGUUAUCCGGAUUUAGUGGGUUUAAAGGGAGCGUAGAUGGGUUGUUAAGUCAGUUGUGAAAGUUUGCGGCUCAACCGUAAAAUUGCAAUUAAUACUGGCAGUCUUGAGUACAGUUGAGGUGAGCGGAAUUCGUAGUGUAGCAGUGAAAUGCUUAGAUAUCACGAAGAACCCCGAUUGCGAAGGCAGCUUACUAAACUGUGACUGACAUUGAUACUCGAAAGUGUGGGUAUCAAACAGGAUUAGAUACCCUUGUAGUC
Molecule: ribosomal RNA, 460 nt
Filed under: uncultured bacterium
Lineage: Bacteria
Description: partial 16S ribosomal RNA
Rfam family: Bacterial small subunit ribosomal RNA
Source: RNAcentral